This is a non-coding RNA of Camellia sinensis, 2409 nucleotides long. The record is from RefSeq and is a predicted model, not a curated record. Lineage: Eukaryota; Viridiplantae; Streptophyta; Magnoliopsida; Ericales; Theaceae.
UAUGUGGUUUGUGUCAUCAUGCGCAACGGACUCUCCAUUUUCCGAAUGGUUCAGCUUCCAAUCCAGAACCCACAAAACCCCUACUAAUUGAUCUUCCAAUCCCAUCAAUCAAGACCUCUCGAGCUCCAACAAUGGCGGACCUUGAACAACCCACCAUCAUCGAGCAUCGAGAAGAGCUCAUGGUCUCACUCUCCGGCGGAAACCCAACUCUCCGACCCUCCCAUUUCCUCAAACCCUCUGUUUCCGCCAUUGAAGACCCAAUCUUCGAGCUUCAAAACCCAAGUCUCAAUCUCUCUGAUCUUCCAUUGAAGGUCGCAUUCAAAGGCUCCCGAGACCCUCUGAGAAAGUGGGAAGAUUGGGUCGAUCGAAUGAAAUCUCUGCACCAACUCACAUGGAAGAAAGCUGGGAUCUUUGAAGCAAUCAUCACUUCUACGUAUCAAAUCCGUAUCGACACUGACAUUGUUUUAGGGCUUGGUUCUCGAUUUUGUUCUGAGACGAACACGUUUGUGUUUCCAUGGGGAGAAGCUACGGUUACUCUGGAAGAUGUUGUGGUGUUGGGUGGUUACUCUGUUCUUGGAGACUCUGUUUUGGGUACUGUCGAAAUCGAAGAAUUGGGUGAAAUUGAUGAGAAAUUGUUGAGAGUUCGAACUGAAAUCACCCGAAGCAAGUCUAGAAAAGCCGAUCAACAUCAAUGGACGAAGAGGUUCAUGAAUAGUGGAAGCGAAAUCGAGCACGAAGCGUUUUUAGUACUCUGGUUGUCCAGGCAUGUUUUUCCAAACUCUUUCAAUAAUGUUGGUAAACAUGUUCACCAUAUCGCGAUUCGUCUCGCUAGAGGGAUAAAGAUUGCUCUUGCUCCAGCUGUUCUUUCGCGGAUUUAUCGCGAUUUGAGAUUGUUGAAAGAAGCAAUUGUUGGUUCUAUGAUUAGUAGGAGAACUAAUGAAGAUGGUGCUGAACUAGGUCUAAUUGAUUUAUGGGCACCAAUGCAUCUUGUUCAGAUUUGGGGUUGGGAGAGAUUUCCCUCAUUGAGGCCAAUACCCAAUUUGAUUGAACACGGGGAGCCAAGAAUGGCUCGAUGGAACAAGGCGAAGAGACCGGGUAUUGAGAAUGUGGGAUCGGUUAUAGACUCUGCCGGAGACAGCUUCCAAUGGCGCCCUUUCGCCAUUUCUGAGAAAAGCUGGCUUCUUUAUGAGUUCUACAAAGAAAGAGAAGAGUGGGUGUCUUGUACUGAAAUGGAUGAAGAUUUGGAGUCAUUUGCUCGGUUUUUGAGGGCUUGUGAGUUGGUUGGCCUAGACUGUAUAGAACAGUAUCUUCCUCAUCGCGUUGCCAUGCAAUUUGGGAUGGAUCAAGAUCUUCCAGGCCGUGUGGCUCGGUUCAAUGAAACACCCGAAAUUGCCUGGGAAAAUUACACCAGACCAAUUGGAGAUGCAAAAUUGUACGUUCCAUCACGACUCUUCGAGUCAGAUGUUACCACUCGAUAUCUGAAGUGGUGGAUUCCAUCAAAUUUUGUACAGGAAAAGAAUUUGAGAAAAAAAUCACCCAGUUCUAAGGGAAAGAAGGUAGACAAUGAUGCCCCCAAAACCAAGAGGAUCAAAGCGGCAAAAUCUAUUGGCAAAGAUGAGCACAUACUCGAGUCUUCUCAAUGCACAAAACCUCAAACUUCAUCACCUCUAAUUGCAGAUAAUGGAGAUGGGAAAGAGAUGGAAUCUCAAGUGGAACCAGGAGAACAUACUAGGUGUAAUGAAGCGGUGAUGGGGGAAUCGUGUCAAUUCACUGAAAAUGUAAUUGAGAGUAGAGCAGGGAUUCAGAUUGAUAAUGGGGUAAGCAUCAACAAAAAUGAAGGAGAUAUCGAUAUCGACGAUAUACCUGGGUUUCCGGUAUCGGAACUUGAAGCCCGGAUUAGCAGACUCGAGAAUUUUUUUGCUCAGCUAAAAGCAGCAAGAGCUAGGCGUUAGUUUCGAUUAAGGGCAACAAAAGUCAUAAAAGUCCGAGUUUGGUGUACAGUUGAGAAACCCUAAUCAGAACAUGCAGUGUGUUUUCCUUGGGAUAAUUCAAAAUGUCAAGGAAGUGGACAAUUUAUUCUUGCUUCUUGUGGUGAAUAGCUAGCUUGAAUCACCAUCUUUGCAUCUAAAAAGAAGGUAUUAGAUGUCAACAAAGAUGAGUUGCUUUUCGUGUUGCAUGUCCGAAGAGCAAGUCAGCCAAAAAUCAUUGAAGAAAAGCAUCAAGGAAUAUAAAGACACGAAAACUUUGGCCUCCUUUGCUAACAUAUCCUUCAAGUCUGAUGGAAGCAAGAGGAGGUACAUUGCUGAAGAGAUAGCGAAGAUCGGAAAAGGGAAUAUUACUGCUCAGAUUUUCACAUUCAAAGACCUGUCUGCUGCAACCCAGAACUUCAACCCUGACUGCUUGGUGGGU